UUAUAAAAACAACAGUCGUUAACUUUGAAAACGCAGAAAACUCAUCAACCUUUUAACCAUUUACCGAGACCACCGAAUGUUUUUGAGAUUGGCGAGUCUUACACUAGCGAUGAUAUUGGCGAGUCUUACGCUAGCGCUGAGAUUGGCGAGUUUUACGCUAGCGCUGAGGUUUGACAAAGCUAUGGAUGUCAGGGGGCGUAAAAUAUGAAAAGUUUGGAAAAAUUUCCAUCUACAUGCAAUGUUGACAUUUAUAGCCUCUUCGAUUGUUGAAUGUAUUUGGAGCAAAACCUAUGACGGCAAAACCCACGCGGUGGUGCAAGGAGAUGAAGAACAACUAUAAUUCGGUUUCGUGAUCAGAAAUAUUAUUUUGCAUGGUUACUACGUGUGUUGCUACGAGUGGCAGCCCACACUCAAGCUGAAAUGAUACUUAUUUUGCAUUUCAUGGUUUCUAUGGUUGAAUGCAUAUUUUAAAUUUAUUACUUGUUGAAGUAUGAAAAUUGUUGUAACAUUACGGCAGCCAAAAAAUUAGGCCAAAGUAAAAAGCAAUGAGUUGAAGAUGUUAAUUUUGUAUUUUAUACACGUGAAUUAUUAUUACAUGACGCUUUUUCAUAGAAAAAGUGACACUAA
Molecule: long non-coding RNA, 627 nt
Organism: Xenia sp. Carnegie-2017
Lineage: Eukaryota; Metazoa; Cnidaria; Anthozoa; Malacalcyonacea; Xeniidae
Exons: 2
Source: RefSeq, a predicted model, not a curated record